CCUACCUCAGAACUGAACGGAUGGAGCUUCCUUUAGGAGGAGGUCUUGGCCUUUUAAGUGGCCUUGUGGGGAGAUUUCCAAGAACUAGGUCCAUACAAGGAUCGAGAAGCUGUGAACGUGUUGUGAUUGCCAUCUUAGCAACUUGAGAUUUAUGUCCUGAUUGCAUUGGAUUACGACUAUCACCUUAAUUACAAGCAUGAUGAUUCACCAAGAAAAUCUAUGGUCCUCUUCGCCGUCUCGAUGGUUUGGCCACCCCGAAGUAGGGUGAGCUCCUCCGAAAGAGAGGUCCUAAUUCAACGAAUUAGUCCGGGUCUCUUACUAGAUAAGGGAAUUAAGUAUUAGUUGCAUGAGUUUCUUCCUAGACAGAGUAUUGGCAUAAUCUAGGUUUGUUCUAGAUAGAUCAUUGAGCGUGAGUCCGGAUAGAUGAUUGGGCCAGUUGUUGACACCUUGGUAUAUUCUAUGUAUGCAUAGAACAUUGUAUGUUGUUCAUUGACUAUCAUUGUAGAUACCGCUUAUCCAGCUAUAUGACAUUGAUUGUUGCUUAUUAGUCACAUCUUGACCUUAUAAUGUUAUUACUCCCUUAUUGAUUGGUUAGAGUUAGCUUGCUCUUGUCGGCUUGUUGUAUCCACUAAAAAACUUUAUCAUUUCUCGAUCCCUUCUGAAUUUAUUUUUUAAGAGCAUUAGGAUCGGUGGAACAUAUUAUAGAGGAUCCGUGCUAGAUAGAUUCACCUAGAUAGAUACACACUCUGUACUUUUGAGGCGAUUAGCAUUGUAUUAUAUAAGAGAUGAAAAAUUUGUAGCCAAACCUAAAGAUAGUUGUAAUCUGUGGUUUUCGGAUGCCAUAACAUGUUUUGCAUGCUUUAAAUGUUAUUUAAAAAUUAAAAAUUCUGAAUUUCUUAGCUUUGCUACAUUAUAUUCAAAACUACUUUGUAUUCCAAUGUCAUAUACAUAAGGAAGAAACUAUGUCCAUGUGGCGGAUUUAUGCACACGUCCAGUUGAGUUUCCAUGCUGGGGCAUGACAUUCUUACAUCCAUCCACGAGUUUCGCCUUUUUUUUUUGGAUUUUUAAUAUUUUCUGAAAAAUAUUUGUAAGACUAGUGUGAAGAUAUAGUCUCUUGGAUCGAUAGAGUGUAAAAUAGACACUCAAUUUUUUGGAGUGCACAUAGCAUAUAUUAACUCUACUUCUGUCCUUUAUGCCUCUCUCGACCCCAACUCCGACUCUGCUGGCUCCACCUGCUCUCUUUGCUCCUCUUGCACUCGCGCUGCCUCUUCAUUUGAUGACGGUGGGAAGAGGUCGGGGUGGGC
Molecule: long non-coding RNA, 1304 nt
Organism: Ananas comosus (pineapple)
Lineage: Eukaryota; Viridiplantae; Streptophyta; Magnoliopsida; Poales; Bromeliaceae
Exons: 3
Source: RefSeq, a predicted model, not a curated record